RNAcentral lists this ribosomal RNA (119 nucleotides) under Amphilophus citrinellus (Midas cichlid). Lineage: Eukaryota; Metazoa; Chordata; Actinopteri; Cichliformes; Cichlidae. The record is from RNAcentral.
ACUUAAGGCCACACUACCCUGAACCUGCCCGAUCUCAUUUGAUCUCAGAAGCUGAGCAGGGUCGGGCCUGGUUAGUACUUGGAUGAGAGACCAACUGGGAAUACCAGGUGCUGUAAGCC